This 424-nucleotide ribosomal RNA is filed under the name uncultured cyanobacterium. Its description in RNAcentral is "bacterial SSU rRNA". It matches the Rfam family "Bacterial small subunit ribosomal RNA", at positions 356 to 795 of the family's 1533-position model. Lineage: Bacteria; Bacillati; Cyanobacteriota. The record is from RNAcentral.
GGGGAAUUUUCCGCAAUGGGCGAAAGCCUGACGGAGCAAGACCGCGUGGGGGAUGAAGGUUUGUGGAUUGUAAACCCCUUUUGAUUGGGAAGAAUACUGACGGUACCAAUCGAAUAAGCCUCGGCUAACUCCGUGCCAGCAGCCGCGGUAAUACGGAGGAGGCAAGCGUUAUCCGGAAUUAUUGGGCGUAAAGCGUCCGUAGGUGGUUUAGUAAGUCUGCUGUUAAAGCGCGGGGCUUAACUCCGUAUCGGCAGUGGAAACUACUAGACUAGAGUGUGGUAGGGGUAGAGGGAAUUCCCAGUGUAGCGGUGAAAUGCGUAGAUAUUGGGAAGAACACCGGUGGCGAAAGCGCUCUACUGGGCCAUAACUGACACUGAUGGACGAAAGCUAGGGGAGCGAAAGGGAUUAGAUACCCCUGNUAGUC